UGACAAGAUAAGGUAGCUGAAAAGCCCAUCGUGUGCUGAAACUUCACUGAGAUGUGUGAUGAAGGCCAUCUCCUGUGUGUCUCUCUUUGACAACUCAAUUCAAAUACCUCACUCAUGUGAAAGAGCUAUCAAGUGACACUGCUACAAGUGAGGCUGCUGUGACAGCCGUUUAAAGCUCCUUUGAUCAAAUCUUGGACACUGACGUAUUCCAUAUGUGGAUGUUGCUGGUGAACUUAAAGCUCUCAGACUGCUCCCUGGUGUUACAAUUCUUUUCAGCCUAUAGCAUGCACAUAGUCCCAGAGCACAACCUGCCAUGAAUACAAGCCUCUUUUUGCCAGGUUUUAUCUAUAGAAAUAAAAUAAAGACAGCUAAGGCA
This 376-nucleotide long non-coding RNA is filed under the name Numida meleagris (helmeted guineafowl). RNAcentral's name for it is "lncRNA (ENSNMEG00000019770.1)". The record is from RNAcentral. Lineage: Eukaryota; Metazoa; Chordata; Aves; Galliformes; Numididae.